GACGAACCGAGCGAACGUUGUUCGGAAUCACUGGGCUUAAAGGGCGCGUAGGCGGGUGCUCAAGUCUGUGGUGAAAUCCUCCGGCUCAACCGGAGAACGGCCAUGGAUACUGGGUGCCUCGAGGGUGAUAGGGGUAUGCGGAACUAUCGGUGGAGCGGUGAAAUGAGUUGAUAUCGAUAGGAACUCCGGUGGCGAAGGCGGCAUACUGGAUCACUUCUGACGCUGAGGCGCGAAAGCCAGGGGAGCGAACGGG
RNAcentral lists this ribosomal RNA (253 nucleotides) under uncultured bacterium. RNAcentral's name for it is "partial 16S ribosomal RNA". It matches the Rfam family "Bacterial small subunit ribosomal RNA", at positions 524 to 776 of the family's 1533-position model. The record is from RNAcentral.